AUGCCUGAAAUAGUUGAUCUGGACAAGCUUACUCGGGAUCCAUCUAAAAGGAAGAGACUUACAGAUUUUAAUGUCAAUCAGCAUGAGGAGAUUAGGAGAAAGUACCUGGCAUGGGGGGCAUAUCAACCUUGUCCCUCCAAGUUUAAACCGAGAUGGAUUGGUAAGAGUAAGCGGUAUUUUAAUCCCGAAUGGUAUGAUCUGCAUCGUAAUUGGCUAGAGUACAGUGAGGUAGAGGACGAGGCAUAUUGCUUGUACUGCUAUUUGUUUAGGGACAACAUUAAAGGUAACAAACCUGGCCAUGAUGCAUUUGUGGUUGAUGGCUUUGUCAACUGGAAGAAGGCAAUAGAGAGAUUUGCAACUCAUGUGGGCGAUCGUGAUAGUUUUCAUAACAAGGCACUAAAGAAAUGUGAGGAUCUAAUGAGAACAGAACAAUCAAUUCCUGUAGCCUUGUAUAAACAGACCGACCUUGAGAAGAAUGAGCAUCUUAUCCGGUUAAAUGCUGCAAUUGAUGUAUGCAGAUACUUGUUGCAUCAAGGACAACCUUUUCGUGGCCAUGAUGAGUCAAAAGAGUCUACAAAUAAAGGUAACUACAGGGAGUUGAUGGAUUAUACAAUUAUGCACAAUGAUGUUAUAGCCAAAGCAUUCAAAAAUGCUCCACUUAAUAAUCAGUUACUGUCUUCAACAAUUCAGAAGGAUAUUACUGAGUGCUUUGCAGAAGAAGUAUUGAGUUGUAUUUUGAAGGAGCUUGACAAUGGCGUGUUCAGCUUAUUAGUUGAUGAAUGUCGUGAUGUUUCCGACAAAGAGCAAAUGGCAGUGGUUCUACGCUAUGUAGAUACAUGUGGGCUAUCAAAUGAGAGGUUUGUUGGUGUUCUUCAUGUGGAGGAAACAACAUCUGCUUAUCUCAAGUCUAAAAUUGAUUUUAUAAUUGCAAAGCUUGGCUUGAGUCUACAACAAGUGAGAGGACAAGGUUAUGAUGGGGCCAGUAAUAUGGCAGGUGAGUUUAAUGGUUUGCAAACCAAGAUUAUGAGGGAGAACAGCUCAGCUUAUUACGUACAUUGUUUUGCUCAUAAACUUAACUUGGUUGUUGUGGCCAUUGCAAAAAAGAUAUUUGAUGUUGGAGAUUUCUUUGAUAUGAUAUCAUUAUUGGUGAAUGUCGUUGGAUCAUCUUGCAAGAGAAAGGAUAAACUUCGAGAGAACCAUCGAGAAGAAGUGAGGAAAGCAAUUGGUAAGGGAGAGAUUGCUACAGGUUUGUCGAAGAUGUUUACCUCGGUGAUAAAAGUUCUAGAGUAUGUGGAGGAAGAGGGCUCAGAUGCUACUAAGCAACGUCAAGCCAGUGCUUUAACAAAUGGGCUGUCAAAAACAUUUCAGAGAAAGGAUAUGGACAUUGUAAAUGCUAUAUCAGAUGUGGAAUCUGUUAAGCGAGAGCUAGAUAAGCUUAGAUCUCAACAUGGAUGGAAUUCUCUCCUGAGCAAGGUAUUUGAUUGUUUUUUUGCUGUCUUGGAUUUAUUGGCAGAAGAACUAAAUCGCAGAUUCAAUGAGGUAAACAAUGAGUUGCUUUGUUGUAUGUCUGCUUUCAACCCAAGCGGUCAGUUUAGUCACUAUGAUCAUGAGAAGUUGUUGAAGUUGGCUAAGUUUUAUCCUAAUGACUUUAGUGAUACUGAGUUGGAGCAUCUUGAGAAGGAGCUUUGCCUGUACAUAGAUAAUGUACGCAAUGAUACAAGAUUUGCUAGCUUGGAAACUAUCAAUGAUCUGGCUAAACUGAUGGUAUCUACGAAGAAGCACUUUUCUUAUCCUCUUGUCUAUCGACUUUUGAAAUUAGUACUGACUCUUCCUGUUGCCACUGCAACCGUUGAGAGAUGCUUCUCCGCAAUGAAGCUUGUGAAGAAUGCUUUACGUAACAAGAUGGGUGAUGAUUAUUUGAGCAAUAGCCUUAUUUGCUUCGUAGAAAAGGAAAUGCUAGAUAAUAUUAUUAAUGAGGUGAUAGUUAAACGCUUUCAUGCGAAAAGCCGACGUGGGAUGAAACGGAAGGAGGUAAUGUUCUCAAGCUUAUUUUAUUUAUUUAUCAGUAUUUACAUUCUCUCAUAUUUAAAGAUGUUUCUUUUUCAUGCAGCUUGA
This 2115-nucleotide ribosomal RNA is filed under the name Triticum aestivum (bread wheat). RNAcentral describes it as "partial small subunit ribosomal RNA". The record is from RNAcentral. Lineage: Eukaryota; Viridiplantae; Streptophyta; Magnoliopsida; Poales; Poaceae.